CCUAUUGAAGCCAUGGUGUUGGCGUCUCCCCCUCUUCUUCUUCUUCUUCUUCUUCUUCUUCUUCUUCUUCUCUCUCUCUCUGGGUUCUGUUUCCUGACUUCUUCUGUUCCUGGGUUAUGGGUAGAGGCAUGUAUUUGGUAUUUACACGUUUGAAGGUGUUUUAUUCCAGUGUGGCACCGAAAUUUAUAUAUAAUGGUGGGUCGCAGAUUCUUUGCCGCGAAUUUCUUUAUCCUUGAUGAGCUGUGGAUCCAACUUGGAUCAUAUUAGAAUCUUAACCGUUUAUAUAGUAACGCACUUUGAGAA
This 303-nucleotide long non-coding RNA is filed under the name Actinidia chinensis (golden kiwifruit). RNAcentral describes it as "long non-coding RNA (ACHI_LNC003247)". Lineage: Eukaryota; Viridiplantae; Streptophyta; Magnoliopsida; Ericales; Actinidiaceae. The record is from RNAcentral.